CAGGCACACAGCUACUUGCUCUCUCUCUCUCCCUCUCUCUGCCAACCUCAUACCAGACUUGGGGUCAUGAUAAACUAUAGGAACCUUGUGCACACCACUCAAAUCCAAGCGAAGUAGAGGUGUCUUUGACACCAAGAGGUGCCAUAAUGUCAUCUCUCUAAUGCCCUCCUUCAUAAGGAUGAAUUGGGCAGAAAAUGCAGUGUUUCCAUCCACCAAAGGCCCAGACAAGAAACAGAAGCAGAGCAGUGGUUCUCUUCCACUUUUGCUUCCCCCAGCAUCAAGAAGGCAGCUGGAGCUGGAGUUAACUAACGACUCAGUUGAACAAGGUCUCCAGAAUGGUUCCUUCAUUCACAUACUGGGCACCUCUUCUGAAUGGCUAGAACAGCUGGAGGCUGGGUGGGCAUGUGUCUCCAUGCAGCCUCUCCAUUUGGAUAGGUUGGGCUUCCUCUCACCGUGGUGGUCUCAGAAUAGUCCUACCUCUUAACUGGUAGGUGGCUUCUCCUAGAGAACACACAGCAAGAGACCAGGGCUGGGAACUGCAAGACUUCUGGUGAACUAGCCUGGAAGUCACACAGCAUCACUUCUACCACAUUCUGUUGCUCACACCCACAGGCACAGCCCAGAUGUAAGAGGAAGAAGGGGACAUAUAGGGAUAGGAAUACCAGAAAGUGUUCUUCAUCAGGGUUGUCUUUGGAAACUAGCUACCACAACAUGAUAUCCAAGUGCAUGAUGACCAAACUCAUCUUGUUGAGCUCUGCAUAAACUGGUUCAGGAGUACAACUCACAUGGCAAUUUGCACAUGACACGUGCUGCCUACUGGUCAUAUAGAUUGGAUUCAAGCAUUACCACAAACAGUUUGAGAACUCUAACCUCUUAAUCUUUGCUUCUGCCCAAUCUGUCCUUAUUUCUACAACUACACUCAACAUUGGUUUUCAACCUCAGUAUAUUCCUUUGAUUCUCACAUAUUAAAUUAACUUUUUCUUCAGCAACUCCCUGGAAGCAGUUUUUUUUUUCUAGCCACAUACAUUUGAUCUCAAG
RNAcentral lists this long non-coding RNA (1038 nucleotides) under Homo sapiens (human). Its description in RNAcentral is "HSALNT0399776". The record is from RNAcentral. Lineage: Eukaryota; Metazoa; Chordata; Mammalia; Primates; Hominidae.